AAGGUCAAAGGUCUAGCGUAGUGAAUAUGACAGUGGUCUCCACAUACAUUCUCAGCAAGGCUGGUAUCCUUAGACCCAGAGCACAGGUCUCUCCUGUUUAAGUUAUCUUUUAUAUGGGUCUGCUACUGCACAGACACCCAAGAAAGACACCUCAGAGUUUGACCGUGUGAUUCAGAACUAAUUGCUAGAAACACAGAAAUACUGAGGGGGUCCAGGCUUCAGUUUGAAGUUCUUGGUGAAAUGUAUUCUUGAGGUUAUAAAGCACUUGUUCUUCCAGCCUGUUCCUCUUGCCCUUGUUGCUGUUGUUUUCACCAGUUCCUGUCCUUGUCCUUGCAUGGCUCCUGUUCCACACCAUUGUCACGUAGCUUAUUGUUUCUGACCCCUUAGUUCCUAUCCCUGCCUUUUGCUUUUGUCCCUGUUUCUCCAGCUGGCACACAUGCACUGUCACUGCUGUCUUCCUCAGCUUCUCUUUGCUAUCUAAAUCUGCCCUUUAUUCCUCUGUAGUGAAGUCAGACUGCUGAUUCUUACUCCUUCAUAGAGAAUAAAAAAAGGAAAAUUUUGAAAACAGGGAGAGGAGGAGAGAAGAAAUAUGUAGAGGGAGAGCUAGAUACUAUGGAAGGCUGGUUAGGACUGUGCAAAGCAAGGACAAUAGAUUCAGAAGGAAGCGUGCAUCAGAGAGGGGUUAAAUGUAGGGACUGGUACCUAGGUGUGUGUGAGUAACAAGUUCACCACAGAAGGCAUCUCACAGCUAGCUGUAAUGUGCAUGCAGGUAUUUUCUUCUUUUUUGUUCACAGAUGGCAGCUACUCAAACCAGAGCUCUGUUUCUUCCAUCUUGGAGUGAGACCCCUUUCCACAAUGAGGAUGAUAUGAAUUUUUGAAAUAAUUUAUGCCUAGCACAAAGCAGUAAGAGGCAGUGUGAAAAUCCAGAGAGCAUGUGCAUAUGGCAAACAGCCAGAGAGAAAAGAAAAAAAACAGUCUGUGCUUUCAUAUCAGAACUUGUGAUUUAGGAUCAUAGGAAGGAUCAUUCCCAGAAGAAACAGGGACUUGGUCUGAUAAUCUCUGCACAGGAUUAAUGAGGCUGGAGUGUAUGAGAACGCACAGUUCUGAACCUGAAGAAAGGCUGGGCCAAAGCUUGUGGAGCAACAGUCAGAAAUGCCCCUCUCAGGACCUGCAAACUGAGUGGUUGCUUCUCUGCCUCCUACUUCCACCCAAGAACUUUAGCUCAGCCUGCCUAGGGGGAGGCUGCUCCCAUCACAGGCUGAGCUCUUGCGUUCUUCACAAGUCCAUCACUCUUCACAAUUUUUUUCCAGCCAGACAUCAUUGUCCCAGACAGAUGCCUAGACCAGGAGAAUCACAUCCAAAGCAGCAGAGGAUCCAAAGGCUCAGUUCAUCUUACCUCUGUGAAGUUCCUCCAGCUUCAUUUGCUUUUCAGAGUUGUUCUUCCUUGGCAGAACUGUUGGAGAAGGACUGUAAUGCUAACAGCCGUAAUUGCCAAGUGAGAGUUAUUCUAGAGUACAAGGAUUUCUGCACAUACUUUAGGCACCUGUUGUAUCACUGGAGACAACUCACACCUGUGGCAGGAUCAAAACUGUACGGUAUAAUAAUUCAGUCAUUACUUUGCUAUUUUGUAACUUGGUGCCAUCUGGAACAUAGCAUAGACAGAGCCUAAAACAGAAAGCAAUCUACAGUGUAUGUUAAGGUUGCAAAAGGAAACAAAAAACCCAAAGCAAAACAAAACAGAAAACCAACCCCCCUCCAGAGGGAAGUGUGAUAACAAGUAUCCACAAAGACAGGAAGCUGCAAAAAAACAAACGUCUGUGCUGGAAGUGAGGUUGGAUCAAAAAAAUUACUCCAGCCUUAAUCGGUCACUGACAUGAACAAACAGGCAUGCAAGAAGUUAGAAGGAGAGAACAUGGAU
Long non-coding RNA from Dromaius novaehollandiae (emu), 1918 nucleotides. RefSeq lists it as uncharacterized. Lineage: Eukaryota; Metazoa; Chordata; Aves; Casuariiformes; Dromaiidae. The transcript is spliced from 4 exons. The record is from RefSeq and is a predicted model, not a curated record.